CACGUAGGGACCGAGCGUUGUCCGGAUUCAUUGGGCGUAAAGAGCUCGUAGGCGGUUGGGUAAGUCGGGUGUGAAAUCUCCGGGCUCAACUCGGAGGGGCCACCCGAUACUGCACGACUCGAGUCCGGUAGGGGAGUGGGGAAUUCCUGGUGUAGCGGUGAAAUGCGCAGAUAUCAGGAGGAACACCGGUGGCGAAGGCGGUUCUCUGGGACGGUACUGACGCUGAGACGCGAAAGCGUGGGGAGCAAACAGG
This 253-nucleotide ribosomal RNA is filed under the name uncultured bacterium. RNAcentral's name for it is "partial 16S ribosomal RNA". It matches the Rfam family "Bacterial small subunit ribosomal RNA", at positions 524 to 776 of the family's 1533-position model. The record is from RNAcentral.